RNAcentral lists this long non-coding RNA (211 nucleotides) under Capsicum annuum. Its description in RNAcentral is "long non-coding RNA (CANN_LNC020983)". Lineage: Eukaryota; Viridiplantae; Streptophyta; Magnoliopsida; Solanales; Solanaceae. The record is from RNAcentral.
UACAUGUGGAGAUAAUUAUUAAUCAUAUUUUCAACAAUCCUGUUGUCACAUAUUUAAAAAUAAAGCUCACUUUUAACCCUGCAAAAGGGUUCCAAUAUUUUUAACCCGAAAAGAGCUAAUAUAUUUUUUAACCCCAAAAGCCCCAUUUUUAAACAUGCCAAACAACAGUGAUAUAUGAAGAAUAUAUAUGAAGAACGAAGAUCAUGCACAA